RNAcentral lists this ribosomal RNA (395 nucleotides) under uncultured bacterium. RNAcentral's name for it is "bacterial SSU rRNA". It matches the Rfam family "Bacterial small subunit ribosomal RNA", at positions 505 to 898 of the family's 1533-position model. The record is from RNAcentral.
GUGUCAGCCGCCGCGGUAAUACAGAGGGGGCAAGCGUUGUUCGGAAUUACUGGGCGUAAAGGGCGCGUAGGCGGCCUGUUAAGUCAGACGUGAAAUCCCUCGGCUCAACCGGGGAACUGCGUCUGAUACUGGCGGGCUUGAAUUCGGGAGAGGGAUGUGGAAUUCCAGGUGUAGCGGUGAAAUGCGUAGAUAUCUGGAGGAACACCGGUGGCGAAGGCGGCAUCCUGGACCGACAUUGACGCUGAGGCGCGAAAGCCAGGGGAGCAAACGGGAUUAGAUACCCCGGUAGUCCUGGCCCUAAACGAUGAGUGCUUGGUGUGGCGGGUAUCGAUCCCUGCCGUGCCGAAGCUAACGCAUUAAGCACUCCGCCUGGGGAGUACGGUCGCAAGGCUGAA